This 382-nucleotide ribosomal RNA is filed under the name Enterococcus casseliflavus. RNAcentral's name for it is "bacterial SSU rRNA". It matches the Rfam family "Bacterial small subunit ribosomal RNA", at positions 96 to 469 of the family's 1533-position model. The record is from RNAcentral. Lineage: Bacteria; Bacillati; Bacillota; Bacilli; Lactobacillales; Enterococcaceae.
UGGCGAACGGGUGAGUAACACGUGGGUAACCUGCCCAUCAGAAGGGGAUAACACUUGGAAACAGGUGCUAAUACCGUAUAACACUAUUUUCCGCAUGGAAGAAAGUUGAAAGGCGCUUUUGCGUCACUGAUGGAUGGACCCGCGGUGCAUUAGCUAGUUGGUGAGGUAACGGCUCACCAAGGCAACGAUGCAUAGCCGACCUGAGAGGGUGAUCGGCCACACUGGGACUGAGACACGGCCCAGACUCCUACGGGAGGCAGCAGUAGGGAAUCUUCGGCAAUGGACGAAAGUCUGACCGAGCAACGCCGCGUGAGUGAAGAAGGUUUUCGGAUCGUAAAACUCUGUUGUUAGAGAAGAACAAGGAUGAGAGUAGAACGUUCAU